UCUAGCUUUAUUUCUAUACUUUGGUGUAGAUGAUAGAACUUUACUCGCUCUGAUAUCAUUAGUUGCUAGUUAUUUCACUUCUUUUAUUUGUUCUAUCUCUUGCUUUACUUCCGCUUUUAUUGUAGACGCCUUAUAUGUGUAGACAUAUGGCGGGUCUGGGCACGCUACCGGGAGAGCCUCCGCCGGUCCCGGGGCGUGACAA
This 202-nucleotide long non-coding RNA is filed under the name Ananas comosus (pineapple). Its description in RNAcentral is "long non-coding RNA (ACOM_LNC022220)". Lineage: Eukaryota; Viridiplantae; Streptophyta; Magnoliopsida; Poales; Bromeliaceae. The record is from RNAcentral.